Molecule: long non-coding RNA, 661 nt
Filed under: Anser brachyrhynchus (Pink-footed goose)
Lineage: Eukaryota; Metazoa; Chordata; Aves; Anseriformes; Anatidae
Description: lncRNA (ENSABRG00000020959.1)
Source: RNAcentral
AUGACAUUGGACCUAAAGGGAUGGGUCUCAUCCACCUCACACAUUAUGAGGCAAGAGAGACACAUCAUAUAUGGUGUAGUCUCACUCCUAGUGACCCAUAAGUGGUUGCAUGCCAAGGGGUGGAAUGAUGGGAGCAGUCAUAAAGGAGAAGGGAAGAUGGAUUUGUUCCUGGUCCUCAAGCAUUUAUUUCUGCAUACUGGUCUUCCAAGCGAUGCUCUUGAAAAUAGGAGCAAGAAUAUAGCAGCAAUCAACCUGGAAAACAAUGUACAAUCACCUGAAGUGUCUGAACCCAGGGCUAAAAUGAAGGGCCCAGGCCUAAUUCUUCAGGAAAUGUGCUGUUUUGUCUUGGACUUGAAGCAGCAAACAUAAAGUAUAUUUUAUAUGAACACAUAUCAGUGCAGACUGCAUUCUGUCUCAAAAACGUGGGCUGCUUUAUCUAAGAAAAAAGGCUUUGUUUUCUGUUUGAAAAAGACAACGAGAAUUUUGGAUGGAAACUGAGAUGAGAACAGUAAGCCGUAUCAGUAACAGUGCUGAUCACAGCUGAAGUGUAUGUUACCAAGGUGACCACACUUACAGACUCAUGCUGAACUCAUCAGUAAUCAAGAGUUUAACUAGCAACAUCUCUAAAAGUUACAUCUCUGCCUUGGCUAAAAUAUAAAAG